This is a long non-coding RNA of Podarcis raffonei (Aeolian wall lizard), 371 nucleotides long. RefSeq lists it as uncharacterized. NCBI's taxonomy places the organism in Eukaryota, Metazoa, Chordata, Lepidosauria, Squamata, Lacertidae. The transcript has 3 exons. The record is from RefSeq and is a predicted model, not a curated record.
AGAAACUGCAAAGCUUCAUUCUUAUGGUGGCUCACAAUAGGGGAAUCUAGUCCAAUUCUCAAAAUCUUAAUUAGGAAGUAUUUUUGAAAUUACCAAAGGCAUUAAAAAGAAAACUGGAGACUGCCUUGGAAUAUAUCAGAAGCUAUAGGCCACUAGAGAGGCAUCAGGACAUUUAAGUUAAAAAGGUAUAAGAUGAAGCACUUAGAGAAUACUGUGAAGUUGUUGAGAAAUUAGAAAUGUGUUCAUUUCCCAGUAAGCUAGAAGAACUCGACACAGCUCCCCCUGCUUUUUUGGCAUUUUCUGGAGAAAGGAAACCGAUGCCAAGCUUAUCAGAAGUUAUUUCAAAAGGAGUCUGAUAAAGAUAAGGUGUG